AAAAAUUUUAUUGAAAAAGUAAAGGUUACAAAUUUGUUAGCAAUUGCAAGGAAGAAGGCGGCUGAAAUUUCAUAAGCUAUAAAUCUUUAGACAUUAAACAUUUUAAUACUUCAAUUUACUUUAUAAUCAUGUUGGGUUUAUCGAAGUUAGCUCAGCCUAUGGCCAAGCAAUCCCUUCAAGUAAUGUCCAAGAGAACAAAUAUUACUGUUAACGGUCCACCUCAAGUCAGAAUGCCAAAAUGGCAACAAUUGCUUAUUGGAGGUUCUGCAUCUGGAUCAAUCUUGAUCAUACCUAUAUGGGUUCUGUAUGACUUAAAAAGUCUUCCACGAGCAUAAUUACUUUACUUCAUGUUUUUGUUGCAUUAUUAUAAAAUUAGAUAUGUAUUAUGUAAACAUUUUUUUCUAAAGAAAUAAAAUGAAAUUGUAGUUAAUAUACUACCAACUGUAUAAUA
Molecule: long non-coding RNA, 451 nt
Organism: Acyrthosiphon pisum (pea aphid)
Lineage: Eukaryota; Metazoa; Arthropoda; Insecta; Hemiptera; Aphididae
Exons: 2
Source: RefSeq, a predicted model, not a curated record